RNAcentral lists this ribosomal RNA (207 nucleotides) under uncultured bacterium. RNAcentral's name for it is "partial 16S ribosomal RNA". It matches the Rfam family "Bacterial small subunit ribosomal RNA", at positions 338 to 537 of the family's 1533-position model. The record is from RNAcentral.
CCUACGGGAGGCAGCAGUGGGGAAUAUUGCACAAUGGGCGCAAGCCUGAUGCAGCCAUGCCGCGUGUAUGAAGAAGGCCUUCGGGUUGUAAAGUACUUUCAGCGGGGAGGAAGGGAGUAAAGUUAAUACCUUUACUCAUUGACGUUACCCGCAGAAGAAGCACCGGCUAACUCCGUGCCAGCAGCCGCGGUAAUACGGAGGGUGCAA